CGGCCUCUGGUCCGCGUCUCGUGCGAGGACGCACCGCAUGGCCGCGCGACGGAGAACGGAGGAACGGCGAUAAGCGCUGCCGGCGGACGACGAUCUUGGCGGAGGCGAGCGCCGGCGAAGACGUUGCAGGUGGAUACACGCACGAACGCAGAAGGUCGCGGUUCGAGGACGAA
Non-coding RNA from Lolium perenne, 173 nucleotides. Lineage: Eukaryota; Viridiplantae; Streptophyta; Magnoliopsida; Poales; Poaceae. The record is from RefSeq and is a predicted model, not a curated record.